Molecule: ribosomal RNA, 368 nt
Filed under: Platydema striatum
Lineage: Eukaryota; Metazoa; Arthropoda; Insecta; Coleoptera; Tenebrionidae
Description: partial 12S ribosomal RNA
Source: RNAcentral
GAUACCCUAUUAUUUUUAAUGUAUAAUUGAGCCUUUAUUAUUAAUAGUUAUGGUCUUUAAAAUUAAAGAAUUUGGCGGUAUUUUAGUCUGUUCAGAGGAACCUGUUUCUUGAUUGAUGAUCCACGAUAAUAAUUACUUUAUCUUUAAAUUUAUAUAUCGUUGUUUAUAAAAAUUUUAGGAGAAUAAUAAUUUUUAAUUUUUUUAAUAAAAGUUUAUUUCAGAUCAAGGUGUAGUUAAUGAUAAAGUUGGAAUGGGUUACAUUAUAUUUAUAUGUGGUUUUUGAAUUUUAAAUUUAGGAUAAAUUGGAUUUGAUAGUAAGUUCUUUAUUUUUGGGAAUUGAUUUAGCUCUAAAAUAUGUACACAUCGCC